UUCCGGUUGAUCCCGCCGGACCUUACUGCUAUCGGGAUGAGACUAAGCCAUGCAUGUCGAGCGCUCUUCAGCUAUGUAGAGAGCGCGGCGAACGGCUCAAUAACACGUAGUUAACCUACCCUCGGGAUGGGAAUAACCCCGGGAAACUGGGAUUAAUACCCACUAGAUGAUUAUACCUGGAAUGGCUUAUCAUCGAAAGAGUCUGGAAACAUGCUUCCAGCGUCGCCCGAGGAUGGGACCGCGUCCGAUCAGGUAGUUGGUAGGGUAAUGGCCUACCAAGCCUAUAACCGGUACGGGCCCUGAGAGGGGGAGCCCGGAGAUGGAAACUGAGAAAAGGUUCCAGGCCCUACGGGGUGCAGCAGGCGCGAAACCUCCACAAUGCGCGAAAGCGUGAUGGGGUUAUCCCGAGUGCCGUCCGAUGAGGAUGGCUUUUUAUCGAUGUAAGGAUUCGAUAGAAUAAAGGGGGGGCAAGACUGGUGUCAGCCGCCGCGGUAAUACCAGCCCCCUGAGUGGUAAGGACGAUUAUUUGGCCUAAAGCGUUCGUAGCCGGCUUAUCAAGUCUUUUGUUAAAUCCAACGAUUUAAUCGUUGGGCUGCAAAAGAUACUGUUAUGCUAGAGGACGGGAGAGGUCGACGGUAGUCCAGGGGUAGGGGUGAAAUCCUAUAAUCCUUGGAGGACCACCAGUGGCGAAGGCGGUCGACUAGAACGUGCCUGACGGUGAGGGACGAAAGCUGGGGGAGCGAACCGGAUUAGAUACCCGGGUAGUCCCAGCUGUAAACGAUGCGGGCUAGGUGUUGGGGCAGCCACGAGCUGCUCCAGUGCCGCAGAGAAGUUGUUAAGCCCGCCGCCUGGGGAGUACGGCCGCAAGGCUGAAACUUAAAGGAAUUGGCAGGGGAGCACCACAAGGGGUGAAGGCUGCGGUUUAAUUGGAGUCAACGCCGGA
RNAcentral lists this ribosomal RNA (943 nucleotides) under uncultured archaeon. Its description in RNAcentral is "bacterial SSU rRNA". It matches the Rfam family "Archaeal small subunit ribosomal RNA", at positions 1 to 922 of the family's 1478-position model. The record is from RNAcentral.